RNAcentral lists this small RNA (30 nucleotides) under Bombyx mori (domestic silkworm). RNAcentral describes it as "ovarian small RNA-11655". The record is from RNAcentral. Lineage: Eukaryota; Metazoa; Arthropoda; Insecta; Lepidoptera; Bombycidae.
ACUCACCAUCAGGUGGGCCGUAUGCCCGUC